AAGGAAGUGACAGAGCGGUUAUGUGGUUGGCUUGAAACCAAUAUAUGGGGGUUCGAUUCCUCCCUUCCUCG
This 71-nucleotide transfer RNA is filed under the name Aborichthys elongatus. RNAcentral describes it as "tRNA-Ser". It matches the Rfam family "tRNA". From Rfam's summary of the family: Transfer RNA (tRNA) molecules are approximately 80 nucleotides in length. Their secondary structure includes four short double-helical elements and three loops (D, anti-codon, and T loops). Further hydrogen bonds mediate the characteristic L-shaped molecular structure. tRNAs have two regions of fundamental functional importance: the anti-codon, which is responsible for specific mRNA codon recognition, and the 3' end, to which the tRNAs corresponding amino acid is attached (by aminoacyl-tRNA synthetases). tRNAs cope with the degeneracy of the genetic code in two manners: having more than one tRNA (with a specific anti-codon) for a particular amino acid; and 'wobble' base-pairing, i.e. permitting non-standard base-pairing at the 3rd anti-codon position. Lineage: Eukaryota; Metazoa; Chordata; Actinopteri; Cypriniformes; Nemacheilidae. The record is from RNAcentral.